CGGACGGGUGAGUAAUGUCUGGGAAACUGCCUGAUGGAGGGGGAUAACUACUGGAAACGGUAGCUAAUACCGCAUAACGUCGCAAGACCAAAGAGGGGGACCUUCGGGCCCCUUGCCAUCGGAUGUGCCCAGAUGGGAUUAGCUAGUAGGUGGGGUAACGGCUCACCUAGGCGACGAUCCCUAGCUGGUCUGAGAGGAUGACCAGCCACACUGGAACUGAGACACGGUCCAG
This 232-nucleotide ribosomal RNA is filed under the name uncultured bacterium. RNAcentral describes it as "partial 16S ribosomal RNA". It matches the Rfam family "Bacterial small subunit ribosomal RNA", at positions 99 to 334 of the family's 1533-position model. The record is from RNAcentral.